RNAcentral lists this ribosomal RNA (497 nucleotides) under uncultured bacterium. RNAcentral describes it as "partial 16S ribosomal RNA". It matches the Rfam family "Bacterial small subunit ribosomal RNA", at positions 28 to 507 of the family's 1533-position model. The record is from RNAcentral.
GAUGAACGCUGGCGGCGUGCCUAAUACAUGCAAGUCGAGCGAACAGAUAAGGAGCUUGCUCCUUUGACGUUAGCGGCGGACGGGUGAGUUACACGUGGAUAACCUACCUAUAAGACUGGGAUAACUUCGGGAAACCGGAGCUAAUACCGGAUAACAUAUUGAACCGCAUGGUUCAAUAGUGAAAGGCGGCUUUGCUGUCACUUAUAGAUGGAUCCGCGCCGUAUUAGCUAGUUGGUAAGGUAACGGCUUACCAAGGCAACGAUACGUAGCCGACCUGAGAGGGGGAUCGGCCACACUGGAACGGAGACACGGUCCAGACUCCUACGGGAGGCAGCAGUAGGGAAUCGUCCGCAAUGGGCGAAAGCCUGACGGAGCAACGCCGCGUGAGUGAUGAAGGUCUUCGGAUCGUAAAACUCUGUUAUCAGGGAAGAACAAAUGUGUAAGUAACUGUGCACAUCUUGACGGUACCUGAUCAGAAAGCCACGGCUAACUACGUG